GUUAGCGGCGGACGGGUGAGUAACACGUGGGUAACCUGCCUGUAAGACUGGGAUAACUCCGGGAAACCGGGGCUAAUACCGGAUGCUUGUUUGAACCGCAUGGUUCAAACAUAAAAGGUGGCUUCGGCUACCACUUACAGAUGGACCCGCGGCGCAUUAGCUAGUUGGUGAGGUAAUGGCUCACCAAGGCGACGAUGCGUAGCCGACCUGAGAGGGUGAUCGGCCACACUGGGACUGAGACACGGCCCAGACUCCUACGGGAGGCAGCAGUAGGGAAUCUUCCGCAAUGGACGAAAGUCUGACGGAGCAACGCCGCGUGAGUGAUGAAGGUUUUCGGAUCGUAAAGCUCUGUUGUUAGGGAAGAACAAGUACCGUUCGAAUAGGGCGGUACCUUGACGGUACCUAACCAGAAAGCCACGGCUAACUACGUGCCAGCAGCCGCGGUAAUACGUAGGUGGCAAGCGUUGUCCGGAAUUAUUGGGCGUAAAGGGCUCGCAGGCGGUUUCUUAAGUCUGAUGUGAAAGCCCCCGGCUCAACCGGGGAGGGUCAUUGGAAACUGGGGAACUUGAGUGCAGAAGAGGAGAGUGGAAUUCCACGUGUAGCGGUGAAAUGCGUAGAGAUGUGGAGGAACAC
Molecule: ribosomal RNA, 633 nt
Filed under: Bacillus subtilis
Lineage: Bacteria; Bacillati; Bacillota; Bacilli; Caryophanales; Bacillaceae
Description: bacterial SSU rRNA
Rfam family: Bacterial small subunit ribosomal RNA
Source: RNAcentral